CCUACGGGAGGCAGCAGUGGGGAAUAUUGCACAAUGGGGGAAACCCUGAUGCAGCGACGCCGCGUGAGUGAGGAAGUAUUUCGGUAUGGAAAGCUCUUUCAGCAGGGAAGAAAAUGACGGUACCUGACUAAGAAUCCCCGGCUAACUACGUGCCAGCAGCCGCGGUAAUACGUAGGGGGCAAGCGUUAUCCGGAUUUACUGGGUGUAAAGGGAGCGUAGACGGCUAAUCAAGUCAGAAGUGAAAGCCUGGGGCUCAACCUUGGGACUGCUUUUGAAACUGGGUAGCUAGAGUGCAGGAGAGGUAAGCGGAAUUCCUGGUGUAGCGGUGAAAUGCGUAGAUAUUAGGAGGAACACCAGUGGCGAAGGCGGCUUACUGGACUGUAACUGACGUUGAGGCUCGAAAGCGUGGGGAGCAAACAGGAUUAGAUACCCCGGUAGUC
This 440-nucleotide ribosomal RNA is filed under the name uncultured bacterium. Its description in RNAcentral is "partial 16S ribosomal RNA". It matches the Rfam family "Bacterial small subunit ribosomal RNA", at positions 338 to 795 of the family's 1533-position model. The record is from RNAcentral.